Molecule: long non-coding RNA, 970 nt
Organism: Mauremys reevesii (Reeves's turtle)
Lineage: Eukaryota; Metazoa; Chordata; Testudines; Geoemydidae
Exons: 5
Source: RefSeq, a predicted model, not a curated record
GAGCCAGCUUCCAUCGAGCAGCUGAGAAGCUUCCUGCUCCUCACCUAUGGCCAUGUGGUCCACUCAGGCCCCACGGAUCUCAUCCUAGAGACCAUAGGCUGCAAGGUCCUGUCUCCCAUGCGGCAACACUAUUUUCUGAACAAACAUGAAAUUCGAGCCUCGCCUGUCUAAGGAACAGGAGGCUGAGACCAUCAGCACUUGUAUCGUCAGCGCCAUGAUUCAGCGCCCAGCCCUGGUGAAGCUGAGAGGGACUGAGGUGGCAGAAAUCUCCACUAUCCAGGCAGAAGUUAGUGAGGCAUGGACAAAGCUGCAGCUUCCACCUGCCUCCUUGGCUGGGAAACUCAGCCACCCCCAUGCUGAGUAGCUGGACCCUGGCCCAAUGCAGAGAGCUGCGUGUCCAACCGAAUCAAGCCCCUCGGUUUAUUUUCCAAAGGGCUGGUGACAAGUGGCUAUGCAGUUAACUCUGCAGUUGGGUUGGCAGGGAGGACAGCUGUAGAGUCUAUCCAAGAACUGCCCUGGGAGGGCCUGGAUCUUGUGCUGCAGAGGUUCCUGGAGCAGCACCUGACCCCCACCAUGCUACUGCAGCUGUUUCUGCACUUGCAGCCAUGGAUCUGCUCUCCCCAGGCCCAGGAGAGGAGCCGAGCUGUGAGAUCCAGCGCCCGGCUCUUCAUGUUCUAUCGCUUCAAAGCCAUCACCGAGGACCUGAAACCCAUGACAUAGCAGGGCUACAGCUGCUGACAAGCCAGGCCUUCGAUGCUCAGGAGGCCACCAGAUACUGGGCAUCUUAGGCUCUCUACUGGCUCUUCACGCCUUGUAAAGGUAAGAUGGAGCAGUAGCAGUCACCAUUUCUCAGCCCUCACAGCCCCAGCCUUUACCUAGCGAGCAGGGCUGCAGAGAGAACAUGGCGCCUUCAUCGUAGCCCUGACCAGAGGGACAUGGAGCAGAAGUGGGUUGGUACCUACCGGGCUGA